UACGGAGGGUGCGAGCGUUGUUCGGAAUCACUGGGCGUAAAGCGCGCGUAGGCGGCUUCCUAAGUCUGAUGUGAAAGCCCGGGGCUCACCCCCGGAAGUGCAUUGGAAACUGGUGGACUCGAGUCCCGGAGAGGAGAGUGGAAUUCCUGGUGUAGCGGUGAAAUGCGUAGAUAUCAGGAGGAACACCGGUGGCGAAAGCAGCUCUCUGGGCGGGGACUGACGCUGAGACGCGAAAGCGUGGGGAGCAAACAGG
RNAcentral lists this ribosomal RNA (253 nucleotides) under uncultured bacterium. Its description in RNAcentral is "partial 16S ribosomal RNA". It matches the Rfam family "Bacterial small subunit ribosomal RNA", at positions 524 to 776 of the family's 1533-position model. The record is from RNAcentral.